This 294-nucleotide ribosomal RNA is filed under the name uncultured bacterium. Its description in RNAcentral is "partial 16S ribosomal RNA". It matches the Rfam family "Bacterial small subunit ribosomal RNA", at positions 335 to 626 of the family's 1533-position model. The record is from RNAcentral.
GAUCCUACGGGGCGCAGCAGUGAGGAAUAUUGGUCAAUGGGCGCAAGCCUGAACCAGCCAAGUCGCGUGAGGGAUGACGGUCCUAUGGAUUGUAAACCUCUUUUGUCGGGGAGCAAGGCCCGCCACGUGUGGCGGGAAGGAGAGUAACCGAAGAAAAAGCAUCGGCUAAAUCCGUGCCAGCAGCCGCGGGAAUACGGAGGAUGCGAGCGUUAUACGGAUUUAUUGGGUUUAAAGGGAGCGUAGGCGGAAGGGUAAGUCAGCGGUCAAAUGUCGGUGCUCAACACCGGACUGCCG